CUACGGGCGGCAGCAGUGGGGAAUAUUGGACAAUGGGCGAAAGCCUGAUCCAGCCAUGCCGCGUGUGUGAAGAAGGCCUUCGGGUUGUAAAGCACUCUCAGUGGGGAAGAAAGCCUUGGGGCUAAUACCCUCGAGGAAGGACAUCACCCACAGAAGAAGCACCGGCUAACUCCGUGCCAGCAGCCGCGGUAAUACGGAGGGUGCGAGCGUUAAUCGGAAUUACUGGGCGUAAAGCGCGCGUAGGCGGUCUGAUAAGCCGGUUGUGAAAGCCCCGGGCUCAACCUGGGAACGGCAUCCGGAACUGUCAGGCUAGAGUGCAGGAGAGGAAGGUAGAAUUCCCGGUGUAGCGGUGAAAUGCGUAGAGAUCGGGAGGAAUACCAGUGGCGAAGGCGGCCUUCUGGACUGACACUGACGCUGAGGUGCGAAAGCGUGGGUAGCAAACAGGAUUAGAUACCCCAGUAGUC
This 464-nucleotide ribosomal RNA is filed under the name Vreelandella stevensii. RNAcentral's name for it is "partial 16S ribosomal RNA". It matches the Rfam family "Bacterial small subunit ribosomal RNA", at positions 339 to 795 of the family's 1533-position model. The record is from RNAcentral. Lineage: Bacteria; Pseudomonadati; Pseudomonadota; Gammaproteobacteria; Oceanospirillales; Halomonadaceae.